GAUGAACGCUGGCGGCGUGCCUAAUACAUGCAAGUCGAGCGAACGGACGAGAAGCUUGCUUCUCUGAUGUUAGCGGCGGACGGGUGAGUAACACGUGGAUAACCUACCUAUAAGACUGGGAUAACUUCGGGAAACCGGAGCUAAUACCGGAUAAUAUUUUGAACCGCAUGGUUCAAAAGUGAAAGACGGUCUUGCUGUCACUUAUAGAUGGAUCCGCGCUGCAUUAGCGAGUUGGUAAGGUAACGGCUUACCAAGGCAACGAUGCAUAGCCGACCUGAGAGGGUGAUCGGCCACACUGGAAGUGAGACACGGUCCAGACUACUACGGGAGGCAGCAGUAGGGAAUCUUCCGCAAAGGGCGGAAACCUGACGGAGCAACGCCGCGUGAGUGAUGAAGAUCUUCGGAUCGUAAAACUCUGUUAUUAGGGAAGAACAUAUGUGUAAGUAACUGUGCACAUCUUGACGGUACCUAGUCAGAAAGCCACGGCUAACUACGUG
Molecule: ribosomal RNA, 497 nt
Filed under: uncultured bacterium
Lineage: Bacteria
Description: partial 16S ribosomal RNA
Rfam family: Bacterial small subunit ribosomal RNA
Source: RNAcentral